GGAAGUAAAAGUCGUAACAGGGUUUCCGUAGGUGAACCUGCGGAAGGAUCAUUAAUGAGUUGUCAUGGGGUUCGAUGCUGGCAGCCAGUUUUUGGAUGCAUGUGCUUGCCCUAACAAUCAUCUUCUUCCAAACACCUGUGCACAUUUUUGAGGGAGUCUUGAGUUGGUUGCCGCUCUUGGGUGAUUUUCUCACAUUCCCUUAAAUCAUUAUACGCUAUUAACAAUGUUGAACGUGCUCUGUGCCGCAAGGCCAUUAAUAUAAUACAACUUUUAACAACGGAUCUCUUGGCUCUC
RNAcentral lists this unclassified non-coding RNA (294 nucleotides) under plant metagenome. RNAcentral's name for it is "partial contains small subunit ribosomal RNA, internal transcribed spacer 1, and 5.8S ribosomal RNA". The stretch from base 1 to 54 matches the Rfam family "Eukaryotic small subunit ribosomal RNA", at positions 1778 to 1831 of the family's 1831-position model. The record is from RNAcentral.